Molecule: unclassified non-coding RNA, 380 nt
Filed under: uncultured fungus
Lineage: Eukaryota; Fungi
Description: partial contains 5.8S ribosomal RNA and internal transcribed spacer 2
Rfam family: 5.8S ribosomal RNA (bases 1-133)
Source: RNAcentral
UGGCUCUCGCAUCGAUGAAGAACGCAGCGAAAUGCGAUAAGUAAUGUGAAUUGCAGAAUUCAGUGAAUCAUCGAAUCUUUGAACGCACCUUGCGCUCUCUGGUAUUCCGGAGAGCACGCCUGUUCGAGUGUCAUGAAACUCUCAAGCAGAAUUAACUUUAUUGUUUGAUUCUUGUUUGGAUUUGGACUCUGCCGCGUUACUGCGGCUGGUCUUAAAAGUAUUAGCUGGUCUGUAAGAACCUUGGGUUUGACUUGGCGUGAUAAUAUAUUCGCUGAGGACACUUUGGUGGCCUAAUUUCUUACUGGAUUGCUUCUAAUCGUCCUUUACUGGACAACUUUAUUUUCAUAUCUGACCUCGAAUCAGGUGGGACUACCCGCUGA